RNAcentral lists this ribosomal RNA (495 nucleotides) under uncultured bacterium. RNAcentral describes it as "partial 16S ribosomal RNA". It matches the Rfam family "Bacterial small subunit ribosomal RNA", at positions 28 to 507 of the family's 1533-position model. The record is from RNAcentral.
GACGAACGCUGGCGGCGUGCCUAAUACAUGCAAGUAGAACGCUGAAGGAGGAGCUUGCUUCUCUGGAUGAGUUGCGAACGGGUGAGUAACGCGUAGGUAACCUGCCUGGUAGCGGGGGAUAACUAUUGGAAACGAUAGCUAAUACCGCAUAAUAGUAGAUGUUGCAUGACAUUUGCUUAAAAGUUGCAAUUGCAUCACUACCAGAUGGACCUGCGUUGUAUUAGCUAGUUGGUGAGGUAACGGCUCACCAAGGCGACGAUACAUAGCCGACCUGAGAGGGGGAUCGGCCAAACUGGGACUGAGACACGGCCCAGACUCCUACGGGAGGCAGCAGUAGGGAAUCUUCGGCAAUAGACGGAAGUCUGACCGAGCAACGCCGCGUGAGUGAAGAAGGUUUUCGGAUCGUAAAGCUCUGUUGUAAGAGAAGAACGAGUGUGAGAGUGGAAAGUUCACACUGUGACGGUAUCUUACCAGAAAGGGACGGCUAACUACGUG